Molecule: ribosomal RNA, 253 nt
Filed under: uncultured bacterium
Lineage: Bacteria
Description: partial 16S ribosomal RNA
Rfam family: Bacterial small subunit ribosomal RNA
Source: RNAcentral
UACAGAGGUCUCAACCGUUGUUCGGAUUCAUUGGGCGUAAAGGGUGCGUAGGCGGUCGCGUAAGUCAGGUGUGAAAUCCCGGGGCUCAACCCCGGAACUGCACUUGAUACUGCGUGGCUAGGGUACUGGAGAGGAGACUGGAAUUUACGGUGUAGCAGUGAAAUGCGUAGAUAUCGUAAGGAAGACCAGUGGCGAAGGCGGGUCUCUGGACAGUUCCUGACGCUGAGGCACGAAGGUCAGGGGAGCAAACGGG